Molecule: ribosomal RNA, 384 nt
Filed under: uncultured prokaryote
Also listed under: 1 other name
Description: bacterial SSU rRNA
Rfam family: Archaeal small subunit ribosomal RNA
Source: RNAcentral
GCGCGCAAACUUUACAAUGCGAGCAAUCGUGAUAAGGAAACCCUGAGUGCCUGUUGAUGCAGGCUGUUCAUCUGUUUAAAUUGCAGGUGAAGAAAGGGCAGGGCAAGACCGGUGCCAGCCGCCGCGGUAAUACCGGCUGCUCGAGUGAUGGCCACUAUUACUGGGUUUAAAGCGUCCGUAGCUUGACUGAUAGGUCUCUUGGGAAAUCUUAACGCUUAACGUUAAGGCGUCUAAGAGAUACCGUCAGUCUUGGAACUGGGAGAGGUAAACCGUACUUCGGGGGUAGGAGUGAAAUCUUGUAAUCCUCGAGGGACGACCUAUGGCGAAGGCAGUUUACCAGAACAGCUUCGACAGUGAGGGACGAAAGCUGGGGGAGCAAACGGG